This 553-nucleotide ribosomal RNA is filed under the name Nocardiopsis halotolerans. RNAcentral describes it as "bacterial SSU rRNA". It matches the Rfam family "Bacterial small subunit ribosomal RNA", at positions 76 to 624 of the family's 1533-position model. Lineage: Bacteria; Bacillati; Actinomycetota; Actinomycetes; Streptosporangiales; Nocardiopsidaceae. The record is from RNAcentral.
GACCUUCGUUCAUUUCUCCGUAGCGGCGACGGGUGAGUACACGUGAGCAACCUGCCCCUGCACUCCGGGAUAAGCGGUGGAAACGCCGUCAAAUACCGGAUACGACCCUUGGCCUCCUGGCCGGGGGUGGAAAGUCUUUUCGGUUGGGGAUGGGCUCGCGGCCUAUCAGCUUGUUGGUGGGGUAACGGCCUACCAAGGCGAUUACGGGUAGCCGGCCUGAGAGGGCGACCGGCCACACUGGGACUGAGACACGGCCCAGACUCCUACGGGAGGCAGCAGUGGGGAAUAUUGCACAAUGGGCGAAAGCCUGAUGCAGCGACGCCGCGUGGGGGAUGACGGCCUUCGGGUUGUAAACCUCUUUUACCACUAACGCAGGCCCGGAGUUCUCUUCGGGUUGACGGUAGGUGGGGAAUAAGGACCGGCUAACUACGUGCCAGCAGCCGCGGUAAUACGUAGGGUCCGAGCGUUGUCCGGAAAUAUUGGGCGUAAAGAGCUCGUAGGCGGCGCGUCGCGUCUGCUGUGAAAAGACCGGGGGCUUAACUCCGGUUUUUGC